CUGCUCUUCUAAAGGGAGUAUUUUUCCUCUCUUUAGAAGGUUGUUACAAAGCUUACUUUGUGUUUAAAUGUACUUAACUAAUGUUGAGUGCUGUAUUGUAUAGGCUUUAAAUGGCUUCAAGUAGGAUAAUAGCACUAAGUGUAUAUUGCCCAAUAAUUGCAUUUACCAGAUUGCUGUGUAAUUAUCAUGCUCUGACUGACAGAAAGGACAAGUGUAGCUCCUAGAAAGACUGAUUAUUUUGCUGCUCUGUAAUUAUGAUGUUGUUAAUAGGGAAGAGUAAUUACAGAUCACUUGUGCUAUCCUGUGAAGUGCAGGCUUCAUACAUUCUCAGCUGAGUUCUGAGUGUAAAGAGUAUUUCACAGCUGGCAUGGUCUUUGCUUAAAUUUGCUUAAUGUAAGUGAGGUGGAGAUACAAAGAACAACAAUACACACACCUGAAUUCUUCAGGAAAUUUUAAAGGGAAAGUGUUAGUGUGUUCCAGGAAUUGUCUUAUGCCAGUACUUUGUCAUAAUGAAGAUGCACAGAAGUGGAGAGGAUAUGACCAAGUUUUCUCACAUGGGAGUUAAUGGAAGUAGUUUCCCCAAGCUGACAUUCAUGGUAAGUGGGGGAAAGAAAAUAACAAGAAUUGUAUGUUUUUUCUGCUUUUUUUCUUAAACGUCAGUUGUAUCUAAAGCUUUACCUGGUCUUCAGCUUAUUGUUUUCUACUUCCUUCUAAUUGGGCCAUAGAAGGGCAUACUGAACCACCUAAGUGUAGCAUAUAAAAUUCACUAUUAUAUGUUCAUUUAUUCUAGCUGCUGUUUAGAAAUGCACAAAAAAAAUUGUGUUUUACUUUUCCACUUCUCACUCUGAAUCUUUUAGCACUCUGAUACUUCACUUAAACCUGAAAGGAGCUUAGUGAUGAACUGAUUUGUGCCUAAGGAAGCAAACAGAAAAGCAUUGUUAGAUCCAUGUACAGGGAAAUGGAGAGAGGAAGGAAAAAAAACACCACUGAAGUAUGUCGAGUGUAGCUUAAGCACACAGAGCAGGAGUGGGCAGUGAAAGAAUCCUGUUUUCAAGCUGCUAACAGGUAGGUGAGCAAUGGAAAUCAGUCUAAACCAGUAAAGCGUAGUUGGGUAUUCCUUCAAACUGCACGUUUUUAAGAGGAGGAGGUAAACAGUGCAAAUCAAAAUGCUUUCACUUGAAACAAGGUAAGGUCUAAUUUCACUGUGUCCCAGGAGGAAAGAUGAAGUUGUGCCUGUGACUUACAGACAAGAAGGCUAAUGUAUUAGUUUUGUAAUUAAGUCCUGUAAAUUGUGCAUAACAGAGCAAUGAACUACUUUAGCCAGGCUUUGGAGGGGGAAGAAGAAAAACCUAUGCGCGCUGGGAAUGAGGGCAUGGAACAUAUUCCCUAACUCAAACCUGAAAAACCUGGUGUUAGUCUUGGGUUAUUUCCAGUGACCCCUUGACUCCCAUCUUCCUGCCCCCUGCACAGAUUUGGAACUGGUCAGCCAGUUCUGUUUUUGGAAGGGAGAGGAGACAGAUAUAAUGAAUGGCUUUUAUUGUGCAAUAUUUCAAAACCUUUUUGACUGCAUUCGGAUGGGAUGGAAAAUGUUCUACCCUGCACUGCAGCCAAAAUAAAUAAAACAUAUUCCCUAAACCUGGAUGUGUGUUUCACUCAAACUGGCAGUAGUUAGAGCUCUACUCUGAAACAAGAAUUCAGUUUGACAAUUUUUAGGCCUUGUUCAGCUGAAUGUAACAGCCAAAGAAAAUACUUGGAAAAAAUUAAAUAAUACACAUAUUUACAGCUUGCAGGUGGCAUUAAUUUUUUUGUGGCUCAUAGUAUUUAGUUUUAGGAAUCCCUCUUAGUUGGGCUAGAUUGGAGAGUUCAAAAAAUACAUAUUGUCUCUUUUUUAAAUUAGUUUUUUCUUUAAUGAGAAUAGUCUCUCUGAAGGAAAAUACAUUUUAUGGAGCUCCCUGAUGGGUGAUAAAUAGUUGUGAUUCAAGGCUUUAAAAGUUUAGGGUCUACCAAGAAACUGAAAAAUGUACAAACACAAGACCCAGCAAACCAGCAGUAAAACCUCCUGACAGGAGCCUGCUAUGCACUGGCUUCCAGCUCCACUAAAGCUUAGUUUAAAUACCCUGUUAUGGUGCAGGCUUACUGCUGGUUUUAGCAUUGCCAAGCAGUUGAGUGAAGUCCUUGCACUGUGUUACUGGGAUACUUCACGUUGUGAAACAUGUUUUAUAGCCCGAAGAGCCAUAUUAAUAAUAACAAUUUUUAAUUUAGGCUGUGAAGGAGUAAAGCUAAAUGAUCAGAAGAGCCACCAUGCCCAGACAGCCUCCACCCUGCAACCAAAGCUGUUAUUUCUCACAAUCCUAACUUGCAAGCAAAAAUCCCUUUGAACAAAUAAUAUGCAAAACUCUUAAUGAUUUUAAGUACAUAAAUGAGCCUCAUUUUUUACAUCAUUGUGAUCAAAUCAUUAAAGAUUACAAACAGGGUCUCAAAGUCCAAAGAGAAGUUGCAGGAGUGGGUAGACAUCAUUCCUUCAAAGCCCUAAUGAUGUAGUGAAUAAACAAGGUAGGAAUCAGAAAACUGGGCUUUUUGUCCCCUCUAUGAUCUGGGUUGGGUUUUGUUCUGUUCUUGAAUUAAAUUACUCAGUUUCCUUGCUCUUUGUCUUCUAUUUAUUUGCCAGCACUUGUAACAUCAGGGUGAAAAAUACGGAUCUAAUAUCACCAUCCAUUAAAUCAACUGAGUUAUACUGAAGACACUUUUGAAGCCCUGUUUCACUCUGUCAUAAAUAACCUGCCUGUGUCACACAAAUGUUUGGACAAACAAAUGCACUUAGCUCCAUGUUCAGAAGCAGGUGGAACAAGUCUGCCUGCCUGAGUGAAGUGUAUGCUCCUGUCUUCCCCUCCACACAGCCUCUUCUUAAUCGUUAGGGUUAUUUCUCCUUUUAGCUGGCAGGACUUCAGUGCAUCUCUCCAGAGAACCUGGAGCUUGCUGCUGUCUGCAUGAUGGUUUCACCCUGCUGCUGUCUGAUGAAUAUCCAGCUACAGAGGACUGGGCAGUUUAUGCGUGGAACAAGCCAAAAACCCAUCUCUACACUUGGCCUUUUUGAGCAUUAGUGUAACACCAUAGCAAUGUAACACAGCCAUCAGCAUCUGCAAGCUGAUACAGUGGCUGUAUUGAAGGCUACUGAAGAUUCCUCUGCUGUGCUCUGUGACUUUGGAAGGCAGCACGGCCAGGGGUGAUGUUCCUAGAUUUUUACAUUGCUACUCCUUGCACAAUGCAAGAAGCUGUAGAGCCCUCAGCAUCCCUAGAUACGCCUCAAGGUAAUUUUGCAAAUGCUUGGGUAUAAACAGGUUAACAUAGAACUGUGGAGUAUAACCUUCUCCUUUAUCAUUGCUCUUAUGUGUGAUGAUAAUAGGCAGUUCAGAGCUGGUAAAAGACGUAUGCAUGUUGAUACAGGACCAGGGAGUUCUAAAAUUGUUUUCACAUUUAUAUGUAAAGCAAUUACUGAUAUAUAGAUACU
Long non-coding RNA from Pezoporus occidentalis (night parrot), 3508 nucleotides. RefSeq lists it as uncharacterized. The record is from RefSeq and is a predicted model, not a curated record. Lineage: Eukaryota; Metazoa; Chordata; Aves; Psittaciformes; Psittacidae. The transcript has 4 exons.